RNAcentral lists this long non-coding RNA (731 nucleotides) under Sus scrofa (pig). RNAcentral describes it as "lncRNA (ENSSSCG00005010043.1)". Lineage: Eukaryota; Metazoa; Chordata; Mammalia; Artiodactyla; Suidae. The record is from RNAcentral.
GCAAAUACCAUCUGCUCUGAGAGUCAAACUGCAGGCCUGGAGCAGCAGCUUCUGCUGUUCUGUAUGCAGACAUCCAGGCACCACACCAAACAUCCAGGUACCACCCCAGACAUCCAGGUACAACCCCAGACAUCCAGGUACCACUCCGGACAUCCAGGUACCACCCCAGACAUCCAGUACCACCCCAGAUAUCCAGGUACAACCCCAGACACCCAGGUACCACUCCGGACAUCCAGGUACCACCCCGGACAUCCAAUACCACCCCAGAUAUCCAGGCACCACACCAAACAUCCAGGUACCACCCCAGACAUCCAGGUACAACCCCAGACAUCCAGGUACCACUCCGGACAUCCAAGUACCACCUCGGACAUCCGGUACCACCCCAGACAUCCAGGCACCACACCAAACAUCCAGGUACCACCCCAGACAUCCAGGCACCACACCAAACAUCCAGGUACCACCCCAGACAUCCAGGUACAACCCCGGACAUCCAGGUACCACCCCAGACACCCAGGUACCACACCAAACAUCCAGGUACCACCCCAGACAUCCAGGUACAACCCCAGACAUCCAGACACAACUCCAGACAUCCAGGUACAACCCCAGACAUCCAGGUACCACCCCAGACAUCCAGGUACCACCCCAGACAUCCAGGCACCACUUCAGACAUCCAGAUAUCUCUCUAGACAUCCAGGUACUGCUCUAGACAGACAUCCAGGUACCACACCAGA